AAUUAUCAUAUUCUUUAUAUUAUGCUUUGAAAUGUAAUUUUCUGUGUGGUCUAUUAAAUAAAUUUAACCAUACCAGUUUAAUUAUUGCAACAUGAACUACAAUUGUGCCUGGUUCAUAUUCACCUCAGUUUAGUUCGAUUCGAUAAGAAUUGAUUCACUUUAAAACUCGAUUUGAGUUUAACAUAAAUUUUUUUAAACUCAAACUCGACUCGUUUUAAGUUCACAGACAACUUGAUUCAAUUCGUCAGGUUCAUCUUAUUAGAUUUAUCUUGUUU
RNAcentral lists this long non-coding RNA (275 nucleotides) under Lathyrus oleraceus (garden pea). Its description in RNAcentral is "Pisum sativum (pea) long non-coding RNA (PSAT_LNC036009)". Lineage: Eukaryota; Viridiplantae; Streptophyta; Magnoliopsida; Fabales; Fabaceae. The record is from RNAcentral.